ACAGAGGGUGCGAGCGUUGUCCGGAAUCACUGGGCGUAAAGGGUGCGUAGGUGGCAAGGUAAGCGUGUGGUGAAAGUCCGGGGCUCAACCCCGGAUCUGCCGUGCGAACUGCCUAGCUUGAGCAAUGUAGAGGCAGGUGGAAUUUCGGGUGUAGCGGUGGAAUGCGUAGAUAUCCGAAAGAACACCAGUGGCGAAGGCGGCCUGCUGGGCAUUUGCUGACACUGAGGCACGACAGCGUGGGGAGCAAACAGGAUUAGAUACCCUGGUAGUCCACGCCGUAAACGAUGGGUACUAGGUGUCUGGGGGAGCGACCCCCUGGGUGCCGGCGCUAACGCAUGAAGUACCCCGCCUGGGGAGUACGGCCGCAAGGCUG
This 373-nucleotide ribosomal RNA is filed under the name uncultured bacterium. RNAcentral describes it as "bacterial SSU rRNA". It matches the Rfam family "Bacterial small subunit ribosomal RNA", at positions 525 to 896 of the family's 1533-position model. The record is from RNAcentral.